Mastomys coucha (southern multimammate mouse) is the source of this 505-nucleotide long non-coding RNA. RefSeq lists it as uncharacterized. The transcript is spliced from 3 exons. The record is from RefSeq and is a predicted model, not a curated record. Lineage: Eukaryota; Metazoa; Chordata; Mammalia; Rodentia; Muridae.
UCCACGCCUCGGCUCUCUGCUCUCCACGUCUGUCCAGCACCUCUGCUCUCCAUCAUCAUGGCAUAUUGUAAUUCUGUGACCUUCUGCCUGCCAAGCAGAAGACCCUAAGGAGCUGGGAGCCCCCUCCUUCACAGACACUACCAUUCCCUGUAGAUCCACACUGAGCCAAAUGCUUUCCUUCUCAUCAGAGGCUGGUUCCUAUGCAAAGGAGGGGAGCACAGCUUUGCUUCCGGGAGCUCUUGGACUAUCUGGAUACUGGUUUUUAUUGUCACAGUGGGGAGAUAGUCCCAGCGGGGAAGCUACUCUUAAGAAGUUUCAUCAACAUGACUACCUAAACCAGAGCUGAACAAAGAUGACAGCAAUGGACAUGCUAAUACAGAGAGGAGAAAUUUCAUGGGGCCUCAACUCCAGACAAAGAACUAUGGAGAGUACUUCAAUUCAAAGAAAAUACAAUGAUUCUACACCAAAAGCCGAGCUUCCUGUUCUCACUGAAUAGUCCCUAGAC